Molecule: ribosomal RNA, 429 nt
Filed under: uncultured bacterium
Lineage: Bacteria
Description: bacterial SSU rRNA
Rfam family: Bacterial small subunit ribosomal RNA
Source: RNAcentral
UGGGGAAUUGUUCGCAAUGGGCGCAAGCCUGACGACGCAACGCCGCGUGGAGGAUGAAGGUCUUCGGAUUGUAAACUCCUGUUGACCGGGAAGAAUGGCUCCCGAUCGAAUAGAUCGGGGGAAUGACGGUACCGGUUGAGGAAGCCACGGCUAACUCUGUGCCAGCAGCCGCGGUAAUACAGAGGUGGCAAGCGUUGUUCGGAAUUACUGGGCGUAAAGGGCGCGUAGGCGGCCUUCUAAGUCAGACGUGAAAUCCCCCGGCUUAACCUGGGAACUGCGUCUGAUACUGGGAGGCUGGAGUUCGGGAGAGGGAUGCGGAAUUCCAGGUGUAGCGGUGAAAUGCGUAGAUAUCUGGAGGAACACCGGUGGCGAAGGCGGCAUCCUGGACCGAUACUGACGCUGAGGCGCGAAAGCUAGGGGAGCAAACGG